GCAUGCAACUAAAUAAAAUGAUUGGAAAUUAGUGGGCCAAUCUUCUCAUUUUUAUCCAAGCAGUGGACAAAAUUGUUGUUCCUUAUCGACAAAGGCAUUCUCUUCCCAACAACCUUUUCCUUCUUCAUCUUGUAUAUAUUUUUGUUUAUAACUUUGAAAAAGUAGGAUUUUUCUUUUUCCAGAAUAAUAUUUCACUUAGAUUUGAUGUUGCACCC
RNAcentral lists this long non-coding RNA (215 nucleotides) under Vigna radiata. RNAcentral's name for it is "long non-coding RNA (VRAD_LNC009359)". The record is from RNAcentral. Lineage: Eukaryota; Viridiplantae; Streptophyta; Magnoliopsida; Fabales; Fabaceae.